UAAGCUUAGAAUAUCCAUUUUUGUUUUUCAGUUUUGAUAGCAUUUUUUUCUUUUACUUAUUGAAGUAAAAUCAAGACGGAAAGAUGGGAAAUAUGUAUUUUUUUUUUUGGCGAUUAUAUGACAUGAUGGGGUAUAAGACGAGAAAUACUAUAAUAUGCUUCCAACAAGUUAUAUGACGGGUCGGGUUGUAAGAUGGAACGGGUUUGACUUAAUAUUACAAAAAAAAAGAAUAUUAUUAAUCUCACAAUUCAAUACGGGUCAUUUUACUACUUUUUUAACCGACACUAAUAUAAAACAUGUAUAAUUAAACUAAUUUAGUAAAGAUUGAUAUUAUGCAAUCUUAAUAAUUAUUAAAUAAACUCUAACAUCUAUAAAUUUUUAAAAAUAUGAAUUUUAAAAAAAAAAAUUAUCCCGCGGUGUACCGCGGGUCAAUAUCUAGUUUUUUUACAUUAGGUAAGCUAGGAAUCAUAUAUCUUUUGUUUUUGGGUUUCUCUUUUUUUUUUUUUUUUUUUUUUGGGUUUCUCA
This 525-nucleotide long non-coding RNA is filed under the name Capsella rubella. RNAcentral describes it as "long non-coding RNA (CRUB_LNC001410)". The record is from RNAcentral. Lineage: Eukaryota; Viridiplantae; Streptophyta; Magnoliopsida; Brassicales; Brassicaceae.